GCAGUGUGGUUCAGUGGUAGAAUUUUUACCUUCCAUGCUGGAGACCUAGGUUCUACUCCUGGCCGCUGCA
RNAcentral lists this transfer RNA (70 nucleotides) under Loxodonta africana (African savanna elephant). It matches the Rfam family "tRNA". From Rfam's summary of the family: Transfer RNA (tRNA) molecules are approximately 80 nucleotides in length. Lineage: Eukaryota; Metazoa; Chordata; Mammalia; Proboscidea; Elephantidae. The record is from Rfam by way of RNAcentral.